This 906-nucleotide ribosomal RNA is filed under the name uncultured archaeon. Its description in RNAcentral is "bacterial SSU rRNA". It matches the Rfam family "Archaeal small subunit ribosomal RNA", at positions 21 to 903 of the family's 1478-position model. The record is from RNAcentral.
CCCCACUGCUAUCGGGAUGGGACUAAGACAUGCUAGUCGAGCGUCUCCAAGCUAUGGAAGAGACGCGGCACACAGCUCAGUAACACGUGGCUAACCUGCCCUUGGGACAAGGACAACUCCGGGAAACUGGGGCUAAUCCCUGAUAAGUGAGAACUCCUGGAAUGGAUUCUCGCUCAAAGGACGUUUAGACCAUGCUUCUAGGCGUCGCCCAAGGAGGGGGCCGCGACCGAUCAGGUUGUUGGUGAGGUAACGGCUCACCAAGCCUUUAACCGGUACGGGCCGUGAGAGCGGAAGCCCGGAGAUGGGCACUGAGACAAGGGCCCAGGCCCUACGGGGCGCAGCAGUCGCGAAAACUCCGCAAUACACGAAAGUGUGACGGGGCCAUCCCGAGUGCCAUCCGCUGAGGAUGGCUUUUCCCCAGUGUAUAAAGCUGGGGGAAUAAGGAGAGGGCAAGCCUGGUGUCAGCCGCCGCGGUAAUACCAGCUCUCCGAGUGGUGGGGAUGUUUAUUGGGCCUAAAGCAUUCGUAGCCUGCUUGGCAAGUCCUCCGUUAAAUCCAACGAUUCAAUCGUUGGGCUGCGGGGGAUACUGUCCAGCUAGGGGGCGGGAGAGGCCGACGGUAUCCCCGGGGUAGGGGUGAAAUCCUAUAAUCCCGGGAGGACCACCAGUGGCGAAGGCUGUCGGCUAGAACGCGCUCGACGGUGAGGGAUGAAAGCUGGGGGAGCGAACCGGAUUAGAUACCCGGGUAGUCCCAGCUGUAAACGAUGCAGGCUAGGUGUUGGCGCGGCUACGUGCCGCUCCAGUGCCGCAGGGAAGCCGUUAAGCCUGCCGCCUGGGAAGUACGGCCGCAAGGCUGAAACUUAAAGGAAUUGGCGGGGGAGCACCACAAGGUGUGAAGCUUGCGGUUU